CAGCUAAACGCUUCCCUCAGCUGUGAGGUAUUGUCUUGCUUUUUCUCUGCAGAGUAUGUGUGAUUAGAGAGGAGACCUAGGGUAAUGGAGCCAGUUCAGAGAGGAUGCAGAUGCAGAUCCCAAGGGCCUGUGCAGAGUUACUGAUCUGAGCCUGCUCCUAGAGAAGUUUUUUGCAACUGGGAGAGACAGAAAAGCUAGAUCCAGAGGCCCUCAGGAGGAAGUAUUUCACAGCUGGUUGCUUGAAUUGGGUUCUGAAAUCAGAGGCCAAGAAGCUCUGGAAGACAAGUACCUUGAGCUCUGUCUACAAAAGAAACUCACAUACACACUCAGAAACAGGACUUCUUGCAGCCAUUGGAACAACUGAUAUUCACCAGGAUCAAAGGAUGAAGUGUCUCCUACCCACUGAGUGAAGCGAAUGGGGGGAGAGGAUUAACAGAAAAAGACAAAGGAAACUUGCAAGUGGAAGAAUAAGGGUGGGAAAUUGGGAAGCAGAAACCAUGAAGUGACAGAAUGGAGCAGAGAUCCUAAAUGAGAAAGGCGAGAGUGUAAAGCAAGAGUGAAAGAAGAUACAUGAAAUUCAAGGUGGUUAUUGUGCCAGAAUGGGUGGAUGGAAGGGUAAGUUAAAGAAAAUGUUUGGACAUCCUCAAUUGCCAGGAGGAUGCAGUUAAUUUAUUUUUAUUUGGACAAAAAUUAGCUUCCUUCUUCAUCCCAUUUCUUUAAUAUCAUUACUUGCCCACAGUUAACUCCAUCAUUCAAUGUGACCCACCUUUGUAUAAGACUUUAAAAAAAAAAAAAAAAAGUUUUAUUCACACAGAUCUUGCUGGAAAAUAACAAAACAGAAAAUCCUCAAAGCCACAAUUAAGAGGGAAAGGCAGGCAGAUGAGAGCUACUGAACAAGGUUUAGUAGCCCUGGACAAUAGCUCCUUAAAUCCUACUGCAGGAAUAUAAAAAUAUUUACAUUGAAUAUUGAGCCUGAUGGAUUUGUAUUAAAUAAUUUUAUUGGUCUUUAUUGUGGUGUUUCUAAUUUGGGCACUCAGAAAGAGCUUCUUAUGGGUACUAACUCUUUUUCAGGUUACCAAAAAGUAAAACUGCAGUAGCCAUUAUAAGGAGUAGAGAAUUAAGCUGAUAAAUACCUUUGGAAAUCCCGUAGUAAGGUAAGAAAAAAUUGGGUGGCUGAAAUUCAUAUAUAAUGUUUUAAAGGAGAACAUAGGUCCUAGGUAUAUUAUUGGGAUAAUGAAAUGUGGUAUUCAACAUCUAAAUUUAACUGAGUUCUUCUAUAAGGACAGUAUGCACUCCUUUUGUCUGCCUCAGACAUCGCAUUGAAAGCACCAAAGUAUAUACCCACAUUGUAUAGUCAGUGGGGAGAGGGGAAUUGUUCAGAUCACCUAAGUUAGAUGCAUAUCUUCUGACUGUCAAUACUUGUAUAAAACCAGUAUUUUUUGGAAGUAUUUUGCAGUUUUGCAGUUAACCAGAUUCAAGUGUGCAGUCUGAUUUUUUACAAAUGCCACAAUAAUUAAUCAUCCAACAGUACAGAUUCUAUCUGACACAGUUCAUUUGCAGACAAAGAAAAGGAAGACUGAGAU
This is a long non-coding RNA of Cuculus canorus (common cuckoo), 1583 nucleotides long. RefSeq lists it as uncharacterized. The record is from RefSeq and is a predicted model, not a curated record. Lineage: Eukaryota; Metazoa; Chordata; Aves; Cuculiformes; Cuculidae. The transcript is spliced from 6 exons.